GGGCCGGUAGCUCAGCCUGGUAGAGCGCUUGACUUUUAAUCAAGCGGUCGUGGGUUCGAAUCCCUCCCGGCCCG
Molecule: transfer RNA, 74 nt
Filed under: Candidatus Woesearchaeota archaeon
Lineage: Archaea; Nanobdellati; Candidatus Woesearchaeota
Description: tRNA-Lys
Rfam family: tRNA
About the family: Transfer RNA (tRNA) molecules are approximately 80 nucleotides in length. Their secondary structure includes four short double-helical elements and three loops (D, anti-codon, and T loops).
Source: RNAcentral